GCCCGGGUGGCGGAACUGGUAGACGCAAGGGACUUAAAAUCCCUCGGACUGUAAAGUCCGUGCCGGUUCGACUCCGGCCCCGGGCACCA
This 89-nucleotide transfer RNA is filed under the name Acidobacteriota bacterium. RNAcentral describes it as "Acidobacteria bacterium tRNA-Leu". It matches the Rfam family "tRNA". Rfam says of the family: Transfer RNA (tRNA) molecules are approximately 80 nucleotides in length. Their secondary structure includes four short double-helical elements and three loops (D, anti-codon, and T loops). Further hydrogen bonds mediate the characteristic L-shaped molecular structure. tRNAs have two regions of fundamental functional importance: the anti-codon, which is responsible for specific mRNA codon recognition, and the 3' end, to which the tRNAs corresponding amino acid is attached (by aminoacyl-tRNA synthetases). tRNAs cope with the degeneracy of the genetic code in two manners: having more than one tRNA (with a specific anti-codon) for a particular amino acid; and 'wobble' base-pairing, i.e. permitting non-standard base-pairing at the 3rd anti-codon position. RNAcentral also lists the same sequence under 1 other name. The record is from RNAcentral. Lineage: Bacteria; Pseudomonadati; Acidobacteriota.